This is a long non-coding RNA of Galeopterus variegatus (Sunda flying lemur), 438 nucleotides long. RefSeq lists it as uncharacterized. Lineage: Eukaryota; Metazoa; Chordata; Mammalia; Dermoptera; Cynocephalidae. The transcript has 3 exons. The record is from RefSeq and is a predicted model, not a curated record.
AAAAUUAAUUAUCCUGAGAGUGAAGACUUUGCCUUUCUAUAUGGAACAAUAUUAACAGAUGGAAAAGACUCUUAUAGUGAGGAGCCAACUACCAACAUCUGUGUGUUUGCAGAUGAACAGGUUGACAGAAGUCCUACUGGCUCAGGAGUGACAGCCCGAAUUGCCUUACAAUAUCACAAAGGGCUUCUAGAACUGAACCAGACCAGAGUCUUUAAAAGCAGCACAACUGGCUCAGUGUUCACAGGGAAUGCUGUGAGGAUUAUAAAUUGGACUUCCCCAGAGGCUACAUGGUGUGCGAUAUUCCAAACAGUUGAAUGCAGAAGCAGAUAUGAGAAUCUAGUUGUCUUCUGUUAAGCCACACAUGAAAAAGGUUUGCAAAAAUGGAAAACAAUGACACUUUUCUCAUAAAAAUUUUUUUUGGCAAAUGUAGUUACUUUC